This 299-nucleotide ribosomal RNA is filed under the name uncultured bacterium. RNAcentral describes it as "partial 16S ribosomal RNA". It matches the Rfam family "Bacterial small subunit ribosomal RNA", at positions 28 to 349 of the family's 1533-position model. The record is from RNAcentral.
GACGAACGCUGGCGGCGUGCUUAACACAUGCAAGUCGAACGGACGGUAGCAAUACCGUUAGUGGCGGACGGGUGAGUAACGCGUGGGAACCUGCCUCGAAGUUCGGAAUAACCGCGGGAAACUGCGGCUAAUACCGGAUGUGGCCUGAGGGUCAAAGGCGCAAGUCGCUUCGAGAGGGCCCGCGUCCGAUUAGCUAGUUGGUGGGGUAACGGCCGUACCAAGGCGACGAUCGGUAGCUGGUCUGAGAGGAUGAUCAGCCACACUGGGACUGAGACACGGCCCAGACUCCUACGGGAGGC